UUGUUGCUGUCAUUGUCAAAAUUUUAAGGUUAUAAAUUAAUAAAAUAAUAGUUUUAGUAAUUUCUUGUUUAUUUGUGUGAAAAAUUCUAAUUCUUGGCCAUAUUAAUUAUAAGACGAUUUAUAGCAAUGUUUGUCAAAUGAUUUACAAAGCUUUAAUGCGUUUUUCGGCCGAGUAUGAAUGUGGUAAAUCACCUUACUACAACGACCGUUUUUGAGGAUUCCAGUGGAUUUGUGUGCUUUCAAACAUUCUGCAUCCCACCAACCAAGGAACUGGUUUUCUCACAACAAUCACAUUAGGUUACACAUUAAAAUAAUAGCAUGGAAUAUUGACCAGUCUGAUUUAUUAUAAUUGAAGCUUUCAAGAGGAUCGCUUUUAUCAUAUUUUUCUGCACAGUUAAAGUUAAAGUCUUAUUAUAAUGAUAUGAUAUAUUAUAAUGAUAACUACCCAAUGGAUUGUUGCGUACAUACCAAUUAUAUAACAGAGCUAAAGAAGGACUGAUACAGAAAACCUCAAUUGAACUUUUUUUGAUUGACUUUUUUUUAUUUUUGAUAUUUUUUUAUUUAUAUUAGAAUUGACUUCAGUCAAUACUGCCUACUGUGUAUUAAGAGAGCCACUAUAUUUAAAUGUACAAAAAUUACAUUCAUCUAACAUGUUAUAGAUAUCAGAGCCUCUAGCCUUUGUUGUAAAUCACAUGAAAGCAAUCUGAUGAAUGAUCAUUAUAUUGCUUUUAUCCAAUUUAAAUCACCUGAAAGUAGAACUGAUGCAGGAAAACUGUUUAUUAUUUGUUUUAAUCUUCUAAUACUUAAACUUCUUUAGACAACUACUUUAGACUUUAAAACACCUAGACAAAUUAUCUAGAUUAGUGCCUACUAAGGGCUAGUUAAAGACUAAAUAAAUCAUAGAAUAGUGUGGAACUAAUAAAAUAUUUGUAUAUGUAUAUAUGUAAUAAAUAAAAUACCAAAUAAAAACAA
Molecule: long non-coding RNA, 972 nt
Organism: Maniola jurtina (meadow brown)
Lineage: Eukaryota; Metazoa; Arthropoda; Insecta; Lepidoptera; Nymphalidae
Exons: 3
Source: RefSeq, a predicted model, not a curated record